This 926-nucleotide ribosomal RNA is filed under the name Morganella psychrotolerans. Its description in RNAcentral is "bacterial LSU rRNA". It matches the Rfam family "Bacterial large subunit ribosomal RNA", at positions 541 to 1471 of the family's 2925-position model. The record is from RNAcentral. Lineage: Bacteria; Pseudomonadati; Pseudomonadota; Gammaproteobacteria; Enterobacterales; Morganellaceae.
AAAAAGAACCUGAAACCGUGUACGUACAAGCAGUGGGAGCACCCUUGUGGUGUGACUGCGUACCUUUUGUAUAAUGGGUCAGCGACUUAUAUUCUGUAGCAAGGUUAACCGAAUAGGGGAGCCGCAGGGAAACCGAGUCUUAACUGGGCGAAUUAGUUGCAGGGUAUAGACCCGAAACCCGGUGAUCUAGCCAUGGGCAGGUUGAAGGUUGGGUAACACUAACUGGAGGACCGAACCGACUAAUGUUGAAAAAUUAGCGGAUGACUUGUGGCUGGGGGUGAAAGGCCAAUCAAACCGGGAGAUAGCUGGUUCUCCCCGAAAGCUAUUUAGGUAGCGCCUCGUGAAUUUAUCUCCGGGGGUAGAGCACUGUUUCGGCUAGGGGGUCAUCCCGACUUACCAACCCGAUGCAAACUACGAAUACCGGAGAAUAUUAUCACGGGAGACACACGGCGGGUGCUAACGUUCGUCGUGAAGAGGGAAACAACCCAGACCGCCGGCUAAGGUCCCAAAGUCAUAAUUAAGUGGGAAACGAAGUGGGAAGGCUCAGACAGCCAGGAUGUUGGCUUAGAAGCAGCCAUCAUUUAAAGAAAGCGUAAUAGCUCACUGGUCGAGUCGGCCUGCGCGGAAGAUGUAACGGGGCUAAAUUAUGCACCGAAGCCGCGGCAGCGAUAUGUAAAUAUUGUUGGGUAGGGGAGCGUUCUGUAAGCCGUUGAAGGUGACCUGUGAGGGUUGCUGGAGGUAUCAGAAGUGCGAAUGCUGACAUAAGUAACGAUAAUGCGGGUGAAAAACCCGCACGCCGGAAGACCAAGGGUUCCUGUUCAACGUUAAUCGGAGCAGGGUGAGUCGACCCCUAAGGCGAGGCUGAAAAGCGUAGUCGAUGGAUAACGGGUUAAUAUUCCCGUACUGGUGGUAACUGCGAAGGGGGG